GGGUUGUGAGGUUAAGCGACUAAGCGUACACGGUGGAUGCCCUGGCAGUCAGAGGCGAUGAAGGGCGUGCUAAUCUGCGAUAAGCGCCGGUAAGGUGAUAUGAACCGUUAUAACCGGCGAUACCCGAAUGGGGAAACCCAGUGUGACUCGUCACACUAUCAUUAACUGAAUCCAUAGGUUAAUGAGGCGAACCGGGGGAACUGAAACAUCUAAGUACCCCGAGGAAAAGAAAUCAACCGAGAUUCCCCCAGUAGCGGCGAGCGAACGGGGAGGAGCCCAGAGCCUGAAUCAGCAUGUGUGUUAGUGGAAGCGUCUGGAAAGGCGCGCGAUACAGGGUGACAGCCCCGUACACAAAAGCGCAUGUGCUGUGAGCUCGAUGAGUAGGGCGGGACACGUGGUAUCCUGUCUGAAUAUGGGGGGACUAUCCUCCAAGGCUAAAUACUCCUGACUGACCGAUAGUGAACCAGUACCGUGAGGGAAAGGCGAAAAGAACCCCGGGAGGGGAGUGAAAAAGAACCUGAAACCGUGUACGUACAAGCAGUGGGAGCCCCACCACCAAAGCAUUCUCUGGUGUUGAAGGCCCUGCAAAGCAGCAUCGCGGUGGCGGAGCGUCGUUUGCGACGCCCAACACACAAAACAAGCGGUGAAUGCUUUG
RNAcentral lists this ribosomal RNA (655 nucleotides) under Salmonella enterica. RNAcentral describes it as "partial 23S ribosomal RNA". It matches the Rfam family "Bacterial large subunit ribosomal RNA", at positions 1 to 604 of the family's 2925-position model. Lineage: Bacteria; Pseudomonadati; Pseudomonadota; Gammaproteobacteria; Enterobacterales; Enterobacteriaceae. The record is from RNAcentral.